GACGAACGCUGGCGGCGUGCUUAACACAUGCAAGUCGAGCGGUAAGGCCCUUUCGGGGGUACACGAGCGGCGAACGGGUGAGUAACACGUGGGUGACCUGCCCUCAGCUCUGGGAUAAGCCUGGGAAACCGGGUCUAAUACUGGAUAUGACUCCAUGACGCAUGUUGUGGGUGGAAAGCCUUGUGCGGCUGAGGAUGGGCCCGCGGCCUAUCAGCUUGUUGGUGGGGUGAUGGCCUACCAAGGCGACGACGGGUAGCCGGCCUGAGAGGGCGACCGGCCACACUGGGACUGAGACACGGCCCAGACUCCUACGGGAGGCAGCAGUGGGGAAUCUUGCGCAAUGGGCGAAAGCCUGACGCAGCGACGCCGCGUGAGGGAUGACGGCCUCGG
RNAcentral lists this ribosomal RNA (390 nucleotides) under uncultured bacterium. Its description in RNAcentral is "bacterial SSU rRNA". It matches the Rfam family "Bacterial small subunit ribosomal RNA", at positions 28 to 420 of the family's 1533-position model. The record is from RNAcentral.